RNAcentral lists this ribosomal RNA (209 nucleotides) under uncultured bacterium. RNAcentral describes it as "partial 16S ribosomal RNA". It matches the Rfam family "Bacterial small subunit ribosomal RNA", at positions 587 to 793 of the family's 1533-position model. The record is from RNAcentral.
GUCAGAUGUGAAAGCCCGGGGCUUAACCUCGGAAUUGCAUUUGAAACUGGCAGGCUAGAGUCUUGUAGAGGGGGUAGAAUUUCAGGUGUAGCGGUGAAAUGACGUAGUAGAUCUGAAGGAAUACCAGUGGCGAAGGCGGCCCCCUGGACAAAGACUGACGCUCAGAUGCGAAAGCGUGGGGAGCAAACAGGAUUAGAUACCCCUGGUAG